This 365-nucleotide unclassified non-coding RNA is filed under the name Hevea brasiliensis (rubber tree). The record is from RNAcentral. Lineage: Eukaryota; Viridiplantae; Streptophyta; Magnoliopsida; Malpighiales; Euphorbiaceae.
GCACUUCUCUACUUUAACCAUCCAGCUUUAAUCUUAUGACUAACAUCAUUCCAAAAUCAUACCAAAGAAAAAAAUAGUGAUGAUCCAUAAUCAACUUCACGAGCAUACAAUUAAAUAAACACAUACUUUCCUAAUAAUUUCCUAUAAUCUCAAACCAUGAGGAAGCUUGCUAAGAUUAGUACCACCUAUAAGAUAGAAGCUAUAAACUUCCAUAAGGAAAAAAUGCCUAUUGUUAUAAUAUUAUCUGAAUAUGAAACAAAUUCAGAGAGCAAAAAGGUUGUAAACAUUUUAUUAAUCAAAGUUCAAAAAGUUAAAUUAGAGAGCUGAGGAAAUGACUGCAUAAAUUACAAAGAAAAAAGAAAAAG